GAUGAACGCUGGCGGCGUGCCUAAUACAUGCAAGUCGAGCGAACAGACGAGGAUCUUGCUCCUCUGACGUUAGCGGCGGACGGGUGAGUAACACGUGGAUAACCUACCUAUAAGACUGGGAUAACUUCGGGAAACCGGAGCUAAUACCGGAUAAUAUAUUGAACCGCAUGGUUCAAUAGUGAAAGACGGUUUUGCUGUCACUUAUAGAUGGAUCCGCGCCGCAUUAGCUAGUUGGUAAGGUAACGGCUUAUCAAGGCAACGAGGCGUAGACGACCUGAGAGGGUGAUCGGCCACACUGGAACUGAGACACGGACCAGGCUCCUACGGGAGGCAGCAGUAGGGAAUCUUACGCAACGGGCGAAAGCCUGACGGAGCAACGCCGAGUGAGUGAUGAAGGUCUUCGGAUCGUAAAACUCUGUUAUUAGGGAAGAACAAAUGUGUAAGUAACUAUGCACGUCUUGACGGUACCUAAUCAGAAAGCCACGGCUAACUACGUG
Molecule: ribosomal RNA, 497 nt
Filed under: uncultured bacterium
Lineage: Bacteria
Description: partial 16S ribosomal RNA
Rfam family: Bacterial small subunit ribosomal RNA
Source: RNAcentral